Molecule: RNA transcript, 4379 nt
Organism: Ailuropoda melanoleuca (giant panda)
Lineage: Eukaryota; Metazoa; Chordata; Mammalia; Carnivora; Ursidae
Exons: 4
Source: RefSeq, a predicted model, not a curated record
GCCCCCGCUCCCCCGGGGCUUGUCGGCCCCGUGCGUGCGCACGCGCGCUGUCCCCCGGAGGCGUCUGGGUGUGCGGAGCGCGCGCGCGCGGCUCGGAGGCGCACCUGUGAGGUGUCCCUUGAGGAGAGGGAGGGUGGAUGCGCGGAGCCCGCGGCCUGGGGCGCUUCAACCCCUCACUUGGAAGCGCCCUGCGUCCCAGCAGAGCCCGCCGAGCAUCCUACUCAGGUGAUGAGGAACCCUUCGAGCACCCAGCGCAGAACGCCGCUGCCGCUGGACGCCUCCAUUGUUUGACCACAACAAGGGCCGGAUUCUCACCCAGACCUGCAAAUCCAAGAGAUACAUCUCUCUGGAAGAUAAGAGAGCUUCUUCCUCAAGAUCAGAAAAGGAGACUGGAAUGAGACCCAUGUAGGGAAUCCCCAGAAGGAAGGAUUGGCACACCUGGAACCCGAGGAGCUUGCUUCCUGGGAAGGCUCCUGUCUGAUGUGUAGGAGGCAGAAUGUCCUACUGACUCUUCAAGGGGAGGCUACAGGGGAUCGAGACCAACACGCAGUAUCUCACCAUCCACCACAGGGGACACUGUGCAGUCCUUUUUCUAGAAGUGGGAAGUACGAGAUUGUUCUACAAGAGGAAGAUUCCAGGGGCUUAAAAACGCAGAGGUUUGCACCUUGGGAGCCCCUUGGAAUGUUGACAACUCAGGAUCUAAAGGAAAGUUCCGUGUUAAUGAGUUACAGAAUUCAUGUGGAAGUAAAUGUCACUUUAUGAUCAAUAAUAAUACUGAGUGAGGAGCACUAUGCAGGAAGAAAUCUUCCAUAGAAAGACAGGCAGGGAGAAGCUUAGGCCAACCUUAGACCUACCUAAUAGAGCAAGCCUGAGAUAAACAGCCAGAAUGGCCAAAUAAGAGACUCUAUGAAAUAGCAAUCCUUUAACUAUAGUAGUCUUACAGAAAUUUUUUCCUCUAAAUCACGAUACCAAAUAGGAAAAAUGAUCUACAAGUGCCCCAUGUGUAGGGAAUUUUUCUCUGAGAGAGCAGAUCUUUUUAUGCAUCAGAAAAUUCACACUGCUGAGAAGCCCCAUAAAUGUGACAAGUGUGACAAGGGUUUCUUUCAUAUAUCAGAACUUCAUAUUCAUUGGAGAGACCACACAGGAGAGAAAGUCUAUAAAUGUGAUGAUUGUGGUAAGGAUUUUAGUACUACAACAAAACUUAACAGGCAUAAGAAAAUCCACACAGUGGAGAAGCCCUAUAAAUGCUAUGAGUGUGGCAAAGCCUUCAAUUGGAGCUCACAUCUUCAAAUUCACAUGAGAGUUCAUACAGGUGAGAAACCCUAUGUCUGUAGUGAGUGUGGAAGGGGCUUUAGUAAUAGUUCAAACCUUUGCAUGCAUCAGAGAGUCCAUACCGGAGAGAAACCCUUUAAAUGUGAAGAGUGUGGGAAGGCCUUCAGGCACACUUCUAGCCUCUGCAUGCAUCAGAGAGUUCACACAGGAGAGAAACCCUAUAAAUGUUAUGAGUGUGGGAAGGCCUUCAGCCAGAGCUCGAGCCUCUGCAUCCAUCAGAGAGUGCACACUGGGGAGAAACCCUAUAGAUGUUGUGGGUGUGGGAAGGCCUUCAGCCAGAGCUCAAGCCUCUGCAUCCACCAGAGAGUGCACACUGGGGAGAAACCUUUUAAAUGUGAUGAGUGUGGGAAGGCCUUCAGUCAGAGCACCAGCCUCUGCAUCCACCAGAGAGUGCACACAAAGGAGAGAAACCAUCUCAAAAUAUCAGUUAUAUAGAACGUUUUGCUACGAGUUAAAAAUCUUAAAACCCAUAAGUGCCACUAGGAAGGAAACCCUGUAAAUACCUACAUUGACCCAAGAAAUUUUUACAGCAAGCCCCAGCAGGACAUUCUUUUUGAAGAGGCAUAUGUGAGGUUGGUUGUUUUUUUGUUGUUGUUUUUUUUGUUUUGUUUUGUUUUGUUUUUGAUUCAUGCCAAGUGUGUUCCACAACUUGACUUUGAAUCUGGAAUCCCUCUGAGUGCCCAAGACGGGCUGUGAGGUCCCAGUCAUGGGUGUGUGUUUCCUGGGAUUUGGGCAUGAUACUUCAGUAGUGGGAAAUAUGGCACAGGAAACCAUGAUCAUUGCCCAGCCUCCUGCCCAGUCACCUGUCUAUGCUUUACCUAAAAGUUACCCCAGACAUCCCCCCUUCAGGAGCUCAUGCCCUUCCUUCUCUCGAUUCACGCAUACUGGUUAAUGCAUUUGAAAAUGGACAGCUCCCACAAAGACAGUGUUCUGGUAUUUCUGAGGUUAUCCCUUGGUUCAGCCCCCUACAUAUUAUUCCAUAGAUCCCAUUACUUCUGAGCCCACUUUACCUGUAUGUCCUCACAGUACCCGUAAAUAUCCACCCCUUCCUAGAUGGCAUUAAAUUUCAUUUUAGAUUUUAGGUGACUCAUAAUUUCCAUUCACUUGGCCCAUCAGAGAAAUCACUGGCAGACAUACAUGCCGUUGAACUUUUCUUGAACUUUUUUUUAAAUAUUGUGAAUUCUGCUAAUCACUGUGUCUCUAUGUUAGAUUUAAUUUUCUAGUGGCUACAUCACAUAUUUUUAACUUGAAUUUUUUGGAAAUAACUGAAUGUAAAUAGGGAGGAAGAUGCAACCAAGCAAAGUUGGAACUUUUCUCCAUCCAGAAUUGCCCUCUUGGGCUCCUUUUGUAGCACGUGGAACUCCUUAUUAGCUAGGGGAGACCAUAGGAGAAGCGGAUGGUGGGAGGAGUCACUAAUAAUAUUUAGUCUCUGUUUCUGUAAUUUUGGGCAAUAAUGCGUAGGAGUCCUCGAUACCUUCAUUGAGGAUCAUGUAUUCCUUCAUUUUUAGGCAUAUCUAUGUCACUCUCUCCUUUCCUUUCUUCAUUCAUUCAACAAGUAUUUAUUGAACACCUCCUAUGUGCCAGGCACUGUGCUAGGUGCUGGGAAUACCACUGAGUAAGACAGACAAAGGCCCUACUCUCAUGGAGUUUACUUCUGGUGGAGGAGACAGAUGAUACGCAAGUAAGCAAAUACAUAAUGUAGUUUGAGAUAGUAAUUAAGUGCUAUGAAGAAAAUAAACUAGGGUGAUGAUUUAGAGUGGGGGUGGGGUGGGGGUGGGGCAUCAUUAGACAGUGGUCAGGGAAGGCCUUUCUGAGGGGAGCACUGGAGUGGAGCGCACAAGGCUGGGAGCACCGGCUGGUUGGCCCUGCUGCCAUGUUUGUGCACUGGAAGGCGGCCAGGUGCUGGGGUGGAGCGAGCAGCAGGGAGGGGAAAGAUACUGAGUUGCUCAGUAUCCUGACGUUUAUAGGCCCUUUUUAUUCUUUUCUUUCUUUUGUUCUUUUUUUUUUUUUUUUUUGGUUUNUUUUUUUUUGUGGCUUGAUUGGUAUUAAAAACUCAUGUGGAAGAACUCAAGGAAUGUUUAGAAGACCAAAAGUCCCCAAUGACUAGAACAAAAAGCAACUAAUUUUUAACUUUGUUUCUCUUCUCAUUCCUGUUUCUCUUGAUUCCCACAUGUAAUCCUUAUGCUCAGGAAGUCUUGGGGGAAGUUAAGGAUCUUUGAAGCUCUGAAAUGGGUGAGCAGGUUCGUGGUGUCUGUCAACUGUCUAAAGAGGUUGGGAAAUGAAUUACCCGAAAAAGUCAUCGAAAUACUGAAACAAAGCUUGAUUUUCUCUUCAUAUUUGAAUUAAUUUCUUCUGUUUGACUGGAAGGGGUUUUUGAGUAACUAAAACCUCAAGGCAUAAAGGAGAUUUAAAAGGAGCACAUAAUUUUGUGGGUGGGCCAUGAAACUAGAGAUGGGGUUUGGGGAUAAUUGUGUCCCUCUCUGGAUUUUCAUCCAGACAGCUCUGAUCACAGCCUUUGGGAAGUCCCUUCUCCUGCGUGUCCUCCUUGCCCAGGAGAGGGACAGCCCAGUUCCUGGGUGAAGCCCCUUCCAGGCCUGAUGCCCUCGACUACGAUUUACUGUAGUGUCUUACCCUCGUCCAUGUCACGGUAGCCUGCGGCGUUAGAGAGCCGCCUAGACUUUUAGUUGGUAGAGAGACAGCUGAGAUAUCAUCGGUAGGAUUUUAGUUUUAGGAAAAGUCGGUUUGAUUUCUAGCUUUAUUACUAUUAGGUGUGUGAGCUUGGGCAGAUCGCCUAAUCGUUGAGUCUAGUUUUCUCACAAAAUGAGGACAUUAGGCUAAAUGAUUUCCAAGUUUCCAGCUAGUCCUAGAGUUCUAUAUUUCUACAUAGUUGAAUUAUUUUAUCAUGCUGUUGCUGGGGAAUAUGACUAACACUUUUGAAGCUACUAAUUUUAUGUCGAGCUUUAAAGUCCAUAAUUGUUAUCUUCGGAAAAUAUUAUUUGACCUACAGUAUGUCCAAAUCAAUUUAAUAAAAUCACUUUAUAACAGGG